This 1755-nucleotide long non-coding RNA is filed under the name Homarus americanus (American lobster). Its description in RNAcentral is "uncharacterized LOC121861636". Lineage: Eukaryota; Metazoa; Arthropoda; Malacostraca; Decapoda; Nephropidae. The record is from RNAcentral.
CGCAGGUUUAUAGAACUUAAUAGUAAACUAGGUCAUGGUAUUGAAGUGACGCUGAUUAAUAUAAAACGAGAAGUAGUAUUUGUUAUUAGUUAUUAUUUUCUGGGUACGUUGGAACAGUCGUGCUACUAUUUCAUGUUCACGUUUCCUCGCUGGUUAAACUUAGCUGUUUUAUUUUCACCUUUUAUUUAUUUAUUUUUCAUAUAUGUAUUUAUGAAAAUUUUAAACAAGAUGAAAAAGAUAAACAUGGACUAACAAGUGUUCUAUAUUGCAGUCUCGUGUUACUGGUGUUUACACUUUGCUGUAUAUGUGACAUCAGGUUUGAGUAUUACUCCAAGCUAGACCAACACGAGCACCUAUCAGUUAAAUUCAAGAGCCUGCACCUGCUAACAGUGCGCAACACAGAACUGAUCCACCGCCCGACCUGUUAAGUACAGGGUAGAAGAACCUCCAGAGUCAGGCGGAACAAGGAGGUCCUCAUCAGGUGUGGCAACAGAAUCUUGAGAACUGAUCCAGAUUAGCUGUGGACAGUGUUAUCCUCGCGUUCUUGGACAUUAAUACAACUACUUUUUUAAAACCUAUUAUCGAUAAAUAACUUCUUCAUUUUAAUCAGUGCCUAUAGUCGAGAAUUCCCCUGCUGGCGUGAGUGAGUGUCGACUUGCUGCAAGUAUGAAGACUACCAACACCUUCAGCAUAACAGAUGGAUGGCUGUUGUGUCGCUGCAGGUCAUCGAGCCAACAUAGGUACUUUAGAUAUCAGCCGUUUCAUUUCUGGUCUCUCGAGGAUUUCACCAACAUGAAUAACACAGAACACACAGUAAGCUUCCGUCAACUACUAAACACCACAACAUAACGCCAGACUACCAAUGAAGAAGUCAAAAUGUCUGAAGGUAUACGUGGUUCAUCCCCGACGUCACCUGGAGCUUAUUGAAGAACAGGAAGUUGGUUUGACGUCAUCCUCCCUGAUCAUUGCUCCUGGAUAUCUGCCCCGAUCAUUUAACAAGAGCUACGGUAAUCAACACCAGAAACCCGAUGUGAAACCAGCACGCAGCAGACCAGUUAGGACUCAUCUGACGUCAUUACAAAAGGAACCAAUUAGAACUCACCCGACGUCAAGACUCAAGGAACCAAUUAGCACUCACCUGACGUCAAUACUCAAGGAACCAAUUAGAACUCGACUGAGAUGUGUUUGUCACGUUGGAUCUUCAGAAGACACUCAGGAGCCCGAGAUAUAUUUAUGAAAGCCCUGCCCUUGAGGUGAAGGAUUUGUCCCAUGUUAACAGCGACAGUACGAGCAGUCAGCAGCGUCUAGCAGUCACCUCCAUCCAGCUGUAUGAACUUAGGUGUGGAAACUUCUCCUGGCAUACGUUACCCCAUCUCCUGGCUUCAUUACGCUAGUUUAAAACUCACAAAGGGUCUCGGGUUCAAUUUCCUGCCAGACUGGAGGGCUGGGUACCUGCCUUGGACACACACCCAUAAAUGUGGACGCUACAUGGCAGGUCAUGGUCAACCCUCUCAUAACCAACACUCAGUCCAAGUUCACCUUCGAUGCAUUACACCUUUAGUUCCCUCGGCCCAGAAAAUCUAAUUUAAGUUUUGAAAAAAUUCGCCUUCACUUCUUGACACUGGCAUAAUGCGCCGCCCUGAAGAUACUGCAUACAGGUAAUGUGACUUUGUUAACUUCAGUACGGUAGGAUAUCACCACAUCUCACAGCUGCUGUACGAGAAUACGAUGAUAUGUUUCUAGGAUUACGUAAAG